Molecule: ribosomal RNA, 712 nt
Filed under: uncultured crenarchaeote
Lineage: Archaea; Thermoproteati; Thermoproteota
Description: bacterial SSU rRNA
Rfam family: Archaeal small subunit ribosomal RNA
Source: RNAcentral
GCUCAGUAACACGUAGUCAACCUGCCCUGGAGACCAGGAUAACCCCGGGAAACUGGGAUUAAUACUGGAUAGGUCAUCUCAUCUGGAAGGAGAGAUGGCUUAAAGGGGUGUGUGAGCUUCUUUCAUACACCUGCUCCAGGAUGGGACUGCGACUGAUCAGGCUGUUGGCGGGGUAAUGGCCCACCAAACCAGUAACCAGUACGGGCCUUGAGAGAGGGGGCCCGGAGAUGGACACUGAGAGAAGGGUCCAGGUCCUACGGGGCGCAGCAGGCGCGAAACCUUCGCAAUGCGCGAAAGCGUGACGAGGUUAAUCCGAGUGGUUCCCUCUGAGGGAAUCUUUUGUCGGCUCUAAAAAGGCCGGCGAAUAAGGGGAGGGCAAGUCUGGUGUCAGCCGCCGCGGUAAUACCAGCUCCUCGAGUGGUCGGGGCGAUUAUUGGGCCUAAAGCAUCCGUAGCCGGUUCUGUAGGUCCUCUGUUAAAUCCAACGGCUUAACCGUUGGCUCGCAGAGGAUACCGCAGGACUAGGAGGCGGGAGAGGCAGACGGUACUCUACGUGUAGGGGUAAAAUCCUUUGAUCCGUAGAAGACCACCAGUGGCGAAGGCGGUCUGCCAGAACGCGCUCGACGGUGAGGGAUGAAAGCUGGGGGAGCGAACCGGAUUANAUACCCGGGUAGUCCCCGCCGUAAACGAUGCGAGCUAGAUGAUUCGGUCGC